UGUAAAUGAUGAAAAGUCUUUCCCCUGAUGUCACAGUGAGGGUGAAAACUGAUUUAAUGAGCCUGAUGC
This 69-nucleotide small nucleolar RNA is filed under the name Oryzias sinensis (Chinese medaka). Lineage: Eukaryota; Metazoa; Chordata; Actinopteri; Beloniformes; Adrianichthyidae. The record is from RNAcentral.